This 485-nucleotide ribosomal RNA is filed under the name uncultured bacterium. RNAcentral describes it as "bacterial SSU rRNA". It matches the Rfam family "Bacterial small subunit ribosomal RNA", at positions 355 to 851 of the family's 1533-position model. The record is from RNAcentral.
UGAGGGAUAUUGCACAAUGGGCGCAAGCCUGAUGCAGCGACGCCGCGUGGGUGAUGAAGGUCUUCGGAUCGUAAAACCCUUUUCUGCGUGACGAUGAUGACGGUAGCGCAGGAAUAAGUGUCGGCUAACUACGUGCCAGCAGCCGCGGUAAAACGUAGGACGCAAACGUUAUCCGGAAUUACUGGGCGUAAAGGGCGCGCAGGCGGUUGGAUAAGUGAGGCAUGAAAGCCCCAUGGCUAAACCUGGGGAGGUUGUCUGAGACUGUCUGACUAGAGUGCGAUAAAGGGGUGUAGAAUUCCGCGUGUAGUGGUGAAAUGCGUAGAGAUGCGGAGGAAUACCAGAGGCGAAGGCGGCACCCUGGAUCGUAACUGACGCUGAGGCGCGAAAGCAGUGGGUAGCGGAACGGGAUUAGGAAACCCCGGUAGUCCAUGCCGUAAACGAUGUGUACUCGAUGUUCGUCCUACAUUGUAGGAUGAGUGUCUAAG